Molecule: non-coding RNA, 115 nt
Organism: Triticum urartu
Lineage: Eukaryota; Viridiplantae; Streptophyta; Magnoliopsida; Poales; Poaceae
Source: Rfam
CAUGUACUUCCUUUGUCCGGAAUUACUUGUCGCAAAAAUGGAUGUACCAAGAACUAAAAUACAUCUAGAUACAUCUAUUUCUCCGACAAGUAAUUCCGGACGGAGGGAGUACUAA